This 521-nucleotide long non-coding RNA is filed under the name Helianthus annuus (common sunflower). The record is from RNAcentral. Lineage: Eukaryota; Viridiplantae; Streptophyta; Magnoliopsida; Asterales; Asteraceae.
AUGUUGAUUUAAAGCUCAAGAAGUGAUAAAAAAAUGGUUGUAUGACAAAAGUGAUUUUGAACAGAUUAUAAACACUAAAAAUAACAUUAUUUGGUGUAAUAUAAUGUACUUGUUUAUGUUGUUGCAUGUUCUUGAAUAUAGUUAAAAAUGCAAGUAUUUGAUGAUUUGUGCAAGAUAUGAUAAAUGAUCAAUUAAAUCAGCAAGUAAACAUGAAUAAAUCACAUGUUUGAUGCAUCUAAACUCAUAUGAAAAGAUGAUGAUAUGAUAGUGUGCUUUAGACACUUGUACAUGAAGGAAUAUGUUGAUUUAAAGCUCAAGAAGUGAUAAAAAAAUGGUUGUAUGACAAAAGUGAUUUUGAACAGAUUAUAAACACUAAAAAUAACAUUAUUUGGUGUAAUAUAAUGGCAUAAAACUUUGACAAAGGUUUGGUAGCAUUGCAUGUUGUACAUAUAGCUUAAAAAGUGAUAAAAUAUGUGAAAUUUGCAUGAUUUAUAUGCUCUAUUUAAGACCUGCACUAUUGU